RNAcentral lists this Y RNA (102 nucleotides) under Microcebus murinus (gray mouse lemur). RNAcentral's name for it is "Y RNA (ENSMICG00000044139.1)". It matches the Rfam family "Y RNA". From Rfam's summary of the family: Y RNAs are components of the Ro ribonucleoprotein particle (Ro RNP), in association with Ro60 and La proteins. The Y RNAs and Ro60 and La proteins are well conserved, but the function of the Ro RNP is not known. Lineage: Eukaryota; Metazoa; Chordata; Mammalia; Primates; Cheirogaleidae. The record is from Rfam by way of RNAcentral.
GGCUGGUCUGAGUGCAGUGGUGUUUAUAACUAAUUGAUCACAACCAGUUACAGAUUCCUUUGUUCCUUCCUCACUCCCACUGCUUCACCUGACUAGCCUCAA